GGGGAAUAUUGGACAAUGGGCGCAAGCCUGAUCCAGCCAUGCCGCGUGAGUGAUGAAGGCCCUAGGGUUGUAAAGCUCUUUCAACGGUGAAGAUAAUGACGGUAACCGUAGAAGAAGCCCCGGCUAACUUCGUGCCAGCAGCCGCGGUAAUACGAAGGGGGCUAGCGUUGUUCGGAAUUACUGGGCGUAAAGCGCACGUAGGCGGAUUGGUCAGUUAGGGGUGAAAUCCCAGGGCUCAACCCUGGAACUGCCUUUAAUACUGCCGGUCUAGAGUCCGAGAGAGGUGAGUGGAAUUCCGAGUGUAGAGGUGAAAUUCGUAGAUAUUCGGAGGAACACCAGUGGCGAAGGCGGCUCACUGGCUCGGUACUGACGCUGAGGUGCGAAAGCGUGGGGAGCAAAC
RNAcentral lists this ribosomal RNA (400 nucleotides) under uncultured bacterium. Its description in RNAcentral is "bacterial SSU rRNA". It matches the Rfam family "Bacterial small subunit ribosomal RNA", at positions 356 to 773 of the family's 1533-position model. The record is from RNAcentral.